RNAcentral lists this ribosomal RNA (425 nucleotides) under uncultured bacterium. Its description in RNAcentral is "partial 16S ribosomal RNA". It matches the Rfam family "Bacterial small subunit ribosomal RNA", at positions 354 to 796 of the family's 1533-position model. The record is from RNAcentral.
GUGGGGAAUCUUGCGCAAUGGGCGAAAGCCUGACGCAGCCAUGCCGCGUGAAUGAUGAAGGUCUUAGGAUUGUAAAAUUCUUUCACCGGGGACGAUAAUGACGGUACCCGGAGAAGAAGCUCCGGCUAACUUCGUGCCAGCAGCCGCGGUAAUACGAAGGGGGCUAGCGUUGCUCGGAAUUACUGGGCGUAAAGGGCGCGUAGGCGGACAGCGUAGUCAGAGGUGAAAGCCCAGGGCUCAACCUUGGAAUUGCCUUUGAUACUGGCUGUCUUGAGUUUGGGAGAGGUGAGUGGAACUCCGGGUGUAGAGGUGAAAUUCGUAGAUAUUCGGAAGAACACCAGUGGCGAAGGCGACUCACUGGCCCAAUACUGACGCUGAGGCGCGAAAGCGUGGGGAGCAAACAGGAUUAGAUACCCUAGUAGUCC